AAAUUGAAGAGUUUGAUCAUGGCUCAGAUUGAACGCUGGCGGCAGGCCUAACACAUGCAAGUCGAGCGGAAACGAGUUAUCUGAACCUUCGGGAACGAUAACGGCGUCGAGCGGCGGACGGGUGAGUAAUGCCUAGGAAAUUGCCCUGAUGUGGGGGAUAACCAUUGGAAACGAUGGCUAAUACCGCAUAACGCCUACGGGCCAAAGAGGGGGACCUUCGGGCCUCUCGCGUCAGGAUAUGCCUAGGUGGGAUUAGCUAGUUGGUGAGGUAAGGGCUCACCAAGGCGACGAUCCCUAGCUGGUCUGAGAGGAUGAUCAGCCACACUGGAACUGAGACACGGUCCAGACUCCUACGGGAGGCAGCAGUGGGGAAUAUUGCACAAUGGGCGCAAGCCUGAUGCAGCCAUGCCGCGUGUGUGAAGAAGGCCUUCGGGUUGUAAAGCACUUUCAGUCGUGAGGAAGGUAGUGUAGUUAAUAGCUGCAUUAUUUGACGUUAGCGACAGAAGAAGCACCGGCUAACUCCGUGCCAGCAGCCGCGGUAAUACGGAGGGUGCGAGCGUUAAUCGGAAUUACUGGGCGUAAAGCGCAUGCAGGUGGUUUGUUAAGUCAGAUGUGAAAGCCCGGGGCUCAACCUCGGAAUUGCAUUUGAAACUGGCAGACUAGAGUACUGUAGAGGGGGGUAGAAUUUCAGGUGUAGCGGUGAAAUGCGUAGAGAUCUGAAGGAAUACCGGUGGCGAAGGCGGCCCCCUGGACAGAUACUGACACUCAGAUGCGAAAGCGUGGGGAGCAAACAGGAUUAGAUACCCUGGUAGUCCACGCCGUAAACGAUGUCUACUUGGAGGUUGUGGCCUUGAGCCGUGGCUUUCGGAGCUAACGCGUUAAGUAGACCGCCUGGGGAGUACGGUCGCAAGAUUAAAACUCAAAUGAAUUGACGGGGGCCCGCACAAGCGGUGGAGCAUGUGGUUUAAUUCGAUGCAACGCGAAGAACCUUACCUACUCUUGACAUCCAGAGAACUUUCCAGAGAUGGAUUGGUGCCUUCGGGAACUCUGAGACAGGUGCUGCAUGGCUGUCGUCAGCUCGUGUUGUGAAAUGUUGGGUUAAGUCCCGCAACGAGCGCAACCCUUAUCCUUGUUUGCCAGCGAGUAAUGUCGGGAACUCCAGGGAGACUGCCGGUGAUAAACCGGAGGAAGGUGGGGACGACGUCAAGUCAUCAUGGCCCUUACGAGUAGGGCUACACACGUGCUACAAUGGCGCAUACAGAGGGCAGCCAACUUGCGAAAGUGAGCGAAUCCCAAAAAGUGCGUCGUAGUCCGGAUCGGAGUCUGCAACUCGACUCCGUGAAGUCGGAAUCGCUAGUAAUCGUGGAUCAGAAUGCCACGGUGAAUACGUUCCCGGGCCUUGUACACACCGCCCGUCACACCAUGGGAGUGGGCUGCAAAAGAAGUAGGUAGUUUAACCUUCGGGAGGACGCUUACCACUUUGUGGUUCAUGACUGGGGUGAAGUCGUAACAAGGUAGCGCUAGGGGAACCUGGCGCUGGAUCACCUCCUUAUACGAUGAU
RNAcentral lists this ribosomal RNA (1561 nucleotides) under Vibrio campbellii. Its description in RNAcentral is "bacterial SSU rRNA". It matches the Rfam family "Bacterial small subunit ribosomal RNA". Lineage: Bacteria; Pseudomonadati; Pseudomonadota; Gammaproteobacteria; Vibrionales; Vibrionaceae. The record is from RNAcentral.